RNAcentral lists this ribosomal RNA (167 nucleotides) under uncultured freshwater bacterium. RNAcentral describes it as "partial 16S ribosomal RNA". It matches the Rfam family "Bacterial small subunit ribosomal RNA", at positions 359 to 524 of the family's 1533-position model. The record is from RNAcentral.
GCAUAGGUAUAUCAGCGCAGCUGAUCAGCAUGCCGCGUGCAGGAUGAAGGCCUUCGGGUUGUAAACUGCUUUUGUACGGAACGAAAAGGCUUCCACUAAUACUGGGGGCUCAUGACGGUACCGUAAGAAUAAGCACCGGCUAACUACGUGCCAGCAGCCGCGGUAAU